This 805-nucleotide long non-coding RNA is filed under the name Paramuricea clavata. Lineage: Eukaryota; Metazoa; Cnidaria; Anthozoa; Malacalcyonacea; Plexauridae. The record is from RNAcentral.
CUUUGUUUAACACCAGACAAUUUUAUUUGUCAAGGGUAGAGUGUUGGUGUUUAAUGGGUUAAGCACUUCUAAGGUACUGUUAAUUUUGAAAAUUCUUAACAAGGUAAACUAUUAGAUCAUUUUUGUGGCAUGAAGUACAUAUUGGUGUCAGCACUAAAUUGCUUCAAAGUUAUAUCAUGCAUAGCUAGAUCAAGCAAAAUUAUAAUGAGCUUUAGCUCAUUUGUUUUAACAGCAUGGAAAUUCUCUAAAUUUAACCCAUUAAGUGACAAUGUACCCAGAUGCACCCUACUUUAUUAUUUUACUCUGUCUAUUACAGUAAUGCCAGAUGAUUUUACUCGUAGCACUGUGCACAAUACAAUAGUACCUUCAUAAGAAAUGUUCAAUAUGUCUACAGACUACAAGAGUUCUCGCAAAAUGAUCAAUAUUUUGCAUUACUUGUACUAUUGUUCUCAUAACAUGUUCAAGAUCACUAUUUCUUGAUUGUUUUUUUGUUCUUCUCUUUGGGCAAUGACUCCUCACUGACAUUACACAUUUACACCACUUGCUUUGCUUUAAUACCAGAAUGCCGUCCAGAAUUGAAACAUUUCCUUGAAUGGAUUGUCAGCUGCUGUUGGGUUUUACAGUAAAAUAUCAUUCCUUCUCCCUUGUGCUCGCUGGUAUUAAACCGAAAUACUCUCAAACAUCAUCCUGGCAGAACCGUUCUGUGAGCACAAACUGAAAUUCUUCGCUCAACAAAAACCUUGUCAGGGCAACAACUGAAUUUACAGUCUCUUUAAUUGAUAGUCCAGUAAAGGUUUGGGCAAUC